UACGGGGGGGGUAAGCGUUGUUCGGAUUCAUUGGGCGUAAAGGGUGCGUAGGCGGCGCGGUAAGUCGGGUGUGAAAUCUCGGAGCUUAACUCCGAAACUGCAUUCGAUACUGCCGUGCUUGAGGACUGGAGAGGAGACUGGAAUUUACGGUGUAGCGGUGAAAUGCGUAGAUAUCGUAAGGAAGACCAGUGGCGAAGGCGGGUCUCUGGACAGUUCCUGACGCUGAGGCACGAAGGCCAGGGGAGCAAACGGG
This 253-nucleotide ribosomal RNA is filed under the name uncultured bacterium. RNAcentral's name for it is "partial 16S ribosomal RNA". It matches the Rfam family "Bacterial small subunit ribosomal RNA", at positions 524 to 776 of the family's 1533-position model. The record is from RNAcentral.